This 219-nucleotide ribosomal RNA is filed under the name Gephyromantis luteus. Its description in RNAcentral is "partial large subunit ribosomal RNA". It matches the Rfam family "Bacterial large subunit ribosomal RNA", at positions 1922 to 2140 of the family's 2925-position model. Lineage: Eukaryota; Metazoa; Chordata; Amphibia; Anura; Mantellidae. The record is from RNAcentral.
GUUUAACGGCCGCAGUACCCUAACCGCGCGAAGGUAGCAUAAUCACUUGUUCUUUAAAUGAGGACUAGAAUCAACGGCACCACGAGAGUUAUACUGUCUCCUUUCUCUAAUCAGUGAAACUAAUCUCCCCGUGAAGAAGCGGGGGUAAAACUAUAAGACGAGAAGACCCCAUGGAGCUUUAAACCUAGCCACACCCCGAACCUUUAUACCCAACUAUUA